Molecule: long non-coding RNA, 503 nt
Organism: Rhododendron vialii
Lineage: Eukaryota; Viridiplantae; Streptophyta; Magnoliopsida; Ericales; Ericaceae
Exons: 2
Source: RefSeq, a predicted model, not a curated record
GUAUGUCAUACGUAGUCCUUACUAACAAUCACAUUUUUCCCUCUUUCGUAUUCGGAGAAGAAUCAAAAGCCAUUGUUUGAUUUUUUGCACCAGUUGAAGCAAAGAAUCAUUGUCCGCGGAAGCCAUCACCAGCUAAAAUUCAAGUCUGAAGAGGGUAGGAACGACUUGCUUUUGGAAUUGAUCCUUUGUGGGGAGAACAACUACAUGAAUGUUUUAAUUUGAAAGGCUCAACAAAAAUAUUCCAGCACUAGAAGGAAGAUUUGAUGACAGUUGGGGCCGGGAGACUUACAAUGGUAGAUGUCUCUGUUUGUGGGAUGACACUUGUAAAGUGCAAAUACUCUCUUUUUGUGAUAUGACUCAUGUUAACAUUAAACGUGACAUAUUAAGUAAACAGUAAAUGGCUCCUGUAAGCACUAAUUGGCAUAUGUUGCCUUUUUUGUAUGAUUCAUGAGACAAAUAAUGGUAGAUGGCUCUUGUUUGAUCAAUGGUGACUCUCUUUGGUA